UACGAAGGGGGCUAGCGUUGCUCGGAAUUACUGGGCGUAAAGGGCGCGUAGGCGGACAUUUAAGUCAGGGGUGAAAUCCCGAGGCUCAACCUCGGAACUGCCUUUGAUACUGGGUGUCUUGAGUAUGAGAGAGGUAUGUGGAACUCCGAGUGUAGAGGUGAAAUUCGUAGAUAUUCGGAAGAACACCAGUGGCGAAGGCGACAUACUGGCUCAUUACUGACGCUGAGGCGCGAAAGUGUGGGGAGCAAACAGGAUUAGAUACCCUGGUAGUCCACGCCGUAAACGAUGAUUGCUAGUUGUCGGGCUGCAUGCAGUUCGGUGACGCAGCUAACGCAUUAAGCAAUCCGCCUGGGGAGUACGGUCGCAAGAUUAAA
RNAcentral lists this ribosomal RNA (374 nucleotides) under uncultured bacterium. RNAcentral describes it as "bacterial SSU rRNA". It matches the Rfam family "Bacterial small subunit ribosomal RNA", at positions 524 to 898 of the family's 1533-position model. The record is from RNAcentral.